Molecule: ribosomal RNA, 559 nt
Filed under: uncultured bacterium
Lineage: Bacteria
Description: bacterial SSU rRNA
Rfam family: Bacterial small subunit ribosomal RNA
Source: RNAcentral
CUACGGGAGGCAGCAGUGGGGAAUAUUGCGCAAUGGGGGAAACCCUGACGCAGCGAUGCCGCGUGAGUGAAGAAGGCCCUAGGGUUGUAAAACUCUUUCACCGGCGAAGAUAAUGACGGUAGCCGGAGAAGAAGCCCCGGCUAACUCCGUGCCAGCAGCCGCGGUAAUACGGAGGGGGCUAACGUUGUUCGGAAUUACUGGGCGUAAAGCGCGCGUAGGCGGAUUAGACAGUUGAGGGUGAAAUCCCGGAGCUUAACUCCGGAACUGCCUUCAAUACUACUAAUCUUGAGUUCGGAAGAGGUGAGUGGAAUUCCUAGUGUAGAGGUGAAAUUCGUAGAUAUUAGGAAGAACAUCAGUGGCGAAGGCGACUCACUGGUCCGAUACUGACGCUAAGGUGCGAAAGCGUGGGGAGCAAACAGGAUUAGAUACCCUGGUAGUCCACGCCGUAAACGAUGGAAGCUAGUUGUUGGGCGGCAUGCCGUUCGGUGACACAGCUAACGCAUUAAGCUUCCCGCCUGGGGAGUACGAUCGCAAGAUUAAAACUCAAAUGAAUUGACGG